This 313-nucleotide ribosomal RNA is filed under the name uncultured Anaerolineaceae bacterium. RNAcentral describes it as "bacterial SSU rRNA". It matches the Rfam family "Bacterial small subunit ribosomal RNA", at positions 1057 to 1382 of the family's 1533-position model. Lineage: Bacteria; Bacillati; Chloroflexota; Anaerolineae; Anaerolineales; Anaerolineaceae. The record is from RNAcentral.
AGCUCGUGUCGUGAGAUGUUCGGUUAAGUCCGCUAACGAGCGCAACCCUCGUCGUAAUGUUAUAUGUGUCAAUACGAGACUGCCGGUAAAAAGCCGGAGGAAGGUGAGGAUGAUGUCAAGUCAGCAUGACCUUUAUAUCCAGGGCUACACACACGCUACAAUGGUCUGUACAAUGGGUAGCCAAGCCGCGAGGCGGAGCCAAUCCUGAAAGCAGGCCUCAGUUCAGAUUGCAGUCUGCAACUCGACUGCAUGGAGCCGGAGUUGCUAGUAACCGCAGGUCAGCAAUACUGCGGUGAAUACGUUCCCGGGUCUU